AUCAUUAACUGAAUCCAUAGGUUAAUGAGGCGAACCGGGGGAACUGAAACAUCUAAGUACCCCGAGGAAAAGAAAUCAACCGAGAUUCCCCCAGUAGCGGCGAGCGAACGGGGAGGAGCCCAGAGCCUGAAUCAGUGUGUGUGUUAGUGGAAGCGUCUGGAAAGGCGCGCGAUACAGGGUGACAGCCCCGUACACAAAAAUGCACAUAUUGUGAGCUCGAUGAGUAGGGCGGGACACGUGGUAUCCUGUCUGAAUAUGGGGGGACCAUCCUCCAAGGCUAAAUACUCCUGACUGACCGAUAGUGAACCAGUACCGUGAGGGAAAGGCGAAAAGAACCCCGGCGAGGGGAGUGAAAAAGAACCUGAAACCGUGUACGUACAAGCAGUGGGAGCCUCUUAAUGGGGUGACUGCGUACCUUUUGUAUAAUGGGUCAGCGACUUAUAUUCUGUAGCAAGGUUAACCGAAUAGGGGAGCCGAAGGGAAACCGAGUCUUAACUGGGCGUUAAGUUGCAGGGUAUAGACCCGAAACCCGGUGAUCUAGCCAUGGGCAGGUUGAAGGUUGGGUAACACUAACUGGAGGACCGAACCGACUAAUGUUGAAAAAUUAGCGGAUGACUUGUGGCUGGGGGUGAAAGGCCAAUCAAACCGGGAGAUAGCUGGUUCUCCCCGAAAGCUAUUUAGGUAGCGCCUCGUGAAUUCAUCUCCGGGGGUAGAGCACUGUUUCGGCAAGGGGGUCAUCCCGACUUACCAACCCGAUGCAAACUGCGAAUACCGGAGAAUGUUAUCACGGGAGACACACGGCGGGUGCUAACGUCCGUCGUGAAGAGGGAAACAACCCAGACCGCCAGCUAAGGUCCCAAAGUCAUGGUUAAGUGGGAAACGAUGUGGGAAGGCCCAGACAGCCAGGAUGUUGGCUUAGAAGCAGCCAUCAUUUAAAGAAAGCGUAAUAGCUCACUGGUCGAGUCGGCCUGCGCGGAAGAUGUAACGGGGCUAAACCAUGCACCGAAGCUGCGGCAGCGACACUAUGUGUUGUUGGGUAGGGGAGCG
RNAcentral lists this ribosomal RNA (1047 nucleotides) under Escherichia coli. Its description in RNAcentral is "partial 23S ribosomal RNA". It matches the Rfam family "Bacterial large subunit ribosomal RNA", at positions 150 to 1238 of the family's 2925-position model. The record is from RNAcentral. RNAcentral also lists the same sequence under 1 other name. Lineage: Bacteria; Pseudomonadati; Pseudomonadota; Gammaproteobacteria; Enterobacterales; Enterobacteriaceae.